GGCCCUAUCGUCUAGUGGUUAGGACAGCGCCUUUUCAAGGCGUCAACCCGGGUCCGAUUCCCGGUAGGGUCA
Molecule: transfer RNA, 72 nt
Filed under: bacterium
Lineage: Bacteria
Description: tRNA-Glu
Rfam family: tRNA
About the family: Transfer RNA (tRNA) molecules are approximately 80 nucleotides in length. Their secondary structure includes four short double-helical elements and three loops (D, anti-codon, and T loops). Further hydrogen bonds mediate the characteristic L-shaped molecular structure. tRNAs have two regions of fundamental functional importance: the anti-codon, which is responsible for specific mRNA codon recognition, and the 3' end, to which the tRNAs corresponding amino acid is attached (by aminoacyl-tRNA synthetases). tRNAs cope with the degeneracy of the genetic code in two manners: having more than one tRNA (with a specific anti-codon) for a particular amino acid; and 'wobble' base-pairing, i.e. permitting non-standard base-pairing at the 3rd anti-codon position.
Source: RNAcentral